UACAGUUUGGUGUUUGUCGGCACGUUAUGUUUUGGUCAUAAGGGGAAUUAGAUGUUAGCUGUAG
Non-coding RNA from Paragonimus westermani, 64 nucleotides. Lineage: Eukaryota; Metazoa; Platyhelminthes; Trematoda; Plagiorchiida; Troglotrematidae. The record is from the annotation of a GenBank genome assembly.